CCUACGGGAGGCAGCAGUAGGGAAUCUUCCACAAUGGGCGAAAGCCUGAUGGAGCAACGCCGCGUGGGUGAAGAAGGUCUUCGGAUCGUAAAACCCUGUUGGUAGAGAAGAAAGUGCGUGAGAGUAACUGUUCACGUUUCGACGGUAUCUAACCAGAAAGCGACGGCUAACUACGUGCCAGCAGCCGCGGUAAUACGUAGGUGGCAAGCGUUAUCCGGAUUGGUUGGGCGUAAGGGGAACGCAGGCGGUCUGUUAAGUCUGAUGUGAAAGCCCUCGGCUUAACCGGUGGAGUGCAUUGGAAACUGGGUGACUGGAGUGCAGGAGAGGAAGGUGGAACUCCAGGUGUAGCGGUGAAAUGCGUAGAUAUAUGGAAGAACACCAGUGGCGAGAGCGGCUCUCUGGACUGAAACUGACGCUGAGGUUCGAAAGCGUGGGUAGCAAACAGGAUUAGAUACCCGAGUAGUC
RNAcentral lists this ribosomal RNA (465 nucleotides) under uncultured bacterium. Its description in RNAcentral is "partial 16S ribosomal RNA". It matches the Rfam family "Bacterial small subunit ribosomal RNA", at positions 338 to 795 of the family's 1533-position model. The record is from RNAcentral.